UGGCAUUUGGCCUAGUGGUAUGAUUCUCGCUUGGGCUGCGAGAGGUCCCGAGUUCAAUUCUCGGAAUGCCCC
This 72-nucleotide transfer RNA is filed under the name Eutrema salsugineum. It matches the Rfam family "tRNA". From Rfam's summary of the family: Transfer RNA (tRNA) molecules are approximately 80 nucleotides in length. Their secondary structure includes four short double-helical elements and three loops (D, anti-codon, and T loops). Further hydrogen bonds mediate the characteristic L-shaped molecular structure. tRNAs have two regions of fundamental functional importance: the anti-codon, which is responsible for specific mRNA codon recognition, and the 3' end, to which the tRNAs corresponding amino acid is attached (by aminoacyl-tRNA synthetases). tRNAs cope with the degeneracy of the genetic code in two manners: having more than one tRNA (with a specific anti-codon) for a particular amino acid; and 'wobble' base-pairing, i.e. permitting non-standard base-pairing at the 3rd anti-codon position. The record is from Rfam by way of RNAcentral. Lineage: Eukaryota; Viridiplantae; Streptophyta; Magnoliopsida; Brassicales; Brassicaceae.